CCCAGUUCGGAUUGUAGACUGCAACCCGUCUGCAUGAAGCUGGAAUCGCUAGUAAUCGCGGAUCAGAAUGCCGCGGUGAAUACGUUCCCGGGUCUUGUACACACCGCCCGUCACACCAUGGGAGUUGGAAAUGCCCGAAGUCAGUGGCCCAACCGUAAGGAGGGAGCUGCCGAAGGCAGGUCCGGUAACCGGGGUGAAGUCGUAACAAGGUACC
This 214-nucleotide ribosomal RNA is filed under the name uncultured bacterium. RNAcentral's name for it is "partial 16S ribosomal RNA". It matches the Rfam family "Bacterial small subunit ribosomal RNA", at positions 1287 to 1500 of the family's 1533-position model. The record is from RNAcentral.